RNAcentral lists this non-coding RNA (254 nucleotides) under Novipirellula maiorica. Lineage: Bacteria; Pseudomonadati; Planctomycetota; Planctomycetia; Pirellulales; Pirellulaceae. The record is from RNAcentral. RNAcentral also lists the same sequence under 1 other name.
AGAUUCUUAGGCGUUCGUGGUGACUCGCAGUGAAUCUACACUUGCGAGUGAACAGGGAACUCCGGUGAAAUUCCGGGAUGGUCCAGCCGCUGUGAACUGCCUUCGGAUGCGUGAACUGAAUGCAUCCCAAUCGAAACUCUUUCAUUAAAACGCCAUUGCUUCUAGAGACCUGGUCAACAGGAAAUCGGAGUGAGAAGGCUGCGAGAACUCGGUCGGCAGUGAGUCAGAAGACCUACCACGAAAUAGACGAUUUC